CGUGAAACCCCAACGUGGCUCCUGUUUCCGGAGAGCGAAGUAGGGAGCCUGGUGACAAAGCAGGAGCCUGGCAGAGAGAAUGCAAUGAAUGGGACAGUUCUUUGCUGAGGACUCAUGGGCCGGAGUAUGAGUUGCUUCUCUAAUUAUGUUCAAGAAAAUGUUGAGAAGUUUCAAGGAGAGCUCUGACUGCCUUGGCCCCCCUCUCUUCCCAUCCUGUCUCCCCUCUGCAGCAUGCCCAGCCCCUGCCCCACCUUCUCAGGGAUCCGCUGCCUCACUCUGCAGAUAAAGAAACAGAGCCUCAGAGAUCGAGCAAGUUACCCAUGUUCACAGACCUGGAUCUGUGCUCACAGAGGAAGACCAGGUGAGGACACGGAGAAGAUGGCCACCUGUCAGCCAAGGAGAGAGGCUUCUAAAGAAGUCAGACUUGCAGAUGCCUUGAUCUUGGAUUUCCAACCUGCAGAACUGUGAGAAAAUAAAUUGUUGUUG
RNA transcript from Leptonychotes weddellii (Weddell seal), 486 nucleotides. RefSeq lists it as uncharacterized. The record is from RefSeq and is a predicted model, not a curated record. Lineage: Eukaryota; Metazoa; Chordata; Mammalia; Carnivora; Phocidae.